AUGAGGCUUGUGCCUUUGUUAACUGGCUGGAUGAAGAAUGGCAUGGCAGGGCUCAGAGUGUUAUCACCAAGCUCGCAGAAGGUAACUUUCCUCUCUCUACUUAUCCCGCUUAAGUGUACACCAUCUUCAUCGUCCCCGGUAGGCCGCGCUACACACUUGCACACACUCUGCAAUCUCGCUUUCUCGCGGUUUUUAUACGACCACAGCCACGUCGAGCGACAACGAGGACGACAGACAUCGAUUAUAUCCGGAUCAUGGAAGGUACACCGCCUCCGGAGUUAA
This 282-nucleotide ribosomal RNA is filed under the name Triticum aestivum (bread wheat). RNAcentral's name for it is "partial small subunit ribosomal RNA". Lineage: Eukaryota; Viridiplantae; Streptophyta; Magnoliopsida; Poales; Poaceae. The record is from RNAcentral.